RNAcentral lists this ribosomal RNA (333 nucleotides) under Triticum aestivum (bread wheat). RNAcentral's name for it is "partial small subunit ribosomal RNA". Lineage: Eukaryota; Viridiplantae; Streptophyta; Magnoliopsida; Poales; Poaceae. The record is from RNAcentral.
AUGUUGGUUCAUCUUCCCCAGCUCAUUUGUUUGUCCCCCCCAUUGCGAGUAACCACACCGUUCAUUUCACACUGCAGAAGAGGAGCAGACGGCCGCUUGAAGAUUAAUACUUCUUCUUUUAUUGCCUCACUACUACAAUCUCCCGGUAUAUCUUCCACCUCCGCCGCUCUACCUUCCGGUUCUCAUCACGGCUGCGCCGCCGAGGAGUCUCAGAGCUUGUGGGGCGCUGCAGGAGGGAAGGUUUCAAAUUUAUUUUAUGCCCAAGGAUAUUUGAAGUUGUGCUUGUUAAGAACUAGGCUCUUGCAGCCUCUCUAUAUCCAAUUCUACUACUGA